RNAcentral lists this ribosomal RNA (455 nucleotides) under uncultured Eubacteriales bacterium. Its description in RNAcentral is "bacterial SSU rRNA". It matches the Rfam family "Bacterial small subunit ribosomal RNA", at positions 923 to 1382 of the family's 1533-position model. The record is from RNAcentral. Lineage: Bacteria; Bacillati; Bacillota; Clostridia; Eubacteriales.
GCACAAGCAGUGGAGCAUGUGUUUAAUUCGAAGCAACGCGAAGAACCUUACCAGGGCUUGACAUCCCUCUGACAGUCCCUUAACCGGGACCGUUCUUCGGACAGAGGAGACAGGUGGUGCAUGGUUGUCGUCAGCUCGUGUCGUGAGAUGUUGGGUUAAGUCCCGCAACGAGCGCAACCCUUGUCUUUAGUUGCCAUCAUUCAGUUGGGCACUCUAGAGAGACUGCCGAGGACAACUCGGAGGAAGGUGGGGAUGACGUCAAAUCAUCAUGCCCCUUAUGUCCUGGGCUACACACGUGCUACAAUGGCUGGUACAAAGAGACGCAAGACCGCGAGGUGGAGCAAAUCUCAAAAACCAGUCCCAGUUCGGAUUGUAGGCUGCAACUCGCCUGCAUGAAGUCGGAGUUGCUAGUAAUCGCAGAUCAGAAUGCUGCGGUGAAUGCGUUCCCGGGUCUU